RNAcentral lists this non-coding RNA (29 nucleotides) under Mus musculus (house mouse). Lineage: Eukaryota; Metazoa; Chordata; Mammalia; Rodentia; Muridae. The record is from RNAcentral.
UAAAAGCCUGUUCAGAUUUCCUUAUAGUC